Granulicatella adiacens ATCC 49175 is the source of this 82-nucleotide regulatory RNA element. It matches the Rfam family "SAM-III riboswitch aptamer (SMK box)". Lineage: Bacteria; Bacillati; Bacillota; Bacilli; Lactobacillales; Carnobacteriaceae. The record is from Rfam.
AAAAGUUAAAAAUGAUAUUCCCGAAAGGAUGCACCAUGUGUAGAUGCCUUGUAACCGGAAUUGAAUGGGGGAAAAAGAAAUG